UGAAUUUCUAAAAAUAUUUCCCCAAAACAAGAUAGAAUUAGUAUUGAUUGAAGAUUAGAUUUGUAAUACCUGCAACGCCUGUACGUACAAUAAACAUAGCAGCAUCUAUAAAUAUACCAAUGUGACCAACUUCAAUUCGUCGCAACUGCGAGCAACCUCGAUACUAAAAAGUAAAAUCACAAAAAUUUAAAUGCCAAACUUUAUAUAAUACCAUUAAACCCCACCCGAAGAAACCGCAAAAACUUCCCUCGUGUCUUAUGCACCUAACAUCAAACUUCAUGAAUAGUACAUACUGUUGCAGAACCAGUAUCCUGAACUAAUUAUACUAGUUCCCAUCUAUAGAUAAUUAUUACAAAUAGCAAACGGGACAAAC
This 373-nucleotide long non-coding RNA is filed under the name Mytilus galloprovincialis (Mediterranean mussel). The record is from RNAcentral. Lineage: Eukaryota; Metazoa; Mollusca; Bivalvia; Mytilida; Mytilidae.